CGCGUAGGCGGUCCUGAUCGUCGGAUGUGAAAGGCCUGGGCUCAACCUGGGAACUGCAUCCGAUACGGCGGGACUGGAGUGUGGGAGAGGUUGGUGGAAUUCCCAGUGUAGAGGUGAAAUUCGUAGAUAUUGGGAAGAACACCGGUGGCGAAGGCGGCCAACUGGACCACAACUGACGCUGAGGCGCGAAAGCGUGGGGAGCAAACA
This 207-nucleotide ribosomal RNA is filed under the name uncultured bacterium. Its description in RNAcentral is "partial 16S ribosomal RNA". It matches the Rfam family "Bacterial small subunit ribosomal RNA", at positions 568 to 774 of the family's 1533-position model. The record is from RNAcentral.